GCUGGCGGCGUGCCUAACACAUGCAAGUCGAACGGGAAAACAGGGGCAACUCUGUGAGUACAGUGGCGUACGGGUGAGUAACACGUGACUACCUACCCUCGAGUGGGGGAUAACCCCGGGAAACCGGGGCUAAUACCGCAUAACAUCGCAAGAUCAAAGGAGCAAUUCGCUUGAGGAGGGGGUCGCGGCUGAUUAGCUAGUUGGUGAGGUAACGGCCCACCAAGGCGAUGAUCGGUAGCCGGCCUGAGAGGGCGCACGGCCACACUGGAACUGAAACACGGUCCAGACUCCUACGGGAGGCAGCAGUGGGGAAUUUUGCGCAAUGGGGGAAACCCUGACGCAGCAACGCCGCGUGGAGGAUGAAGUCCCUUGGGACGUAAACUCCUUUCGACCCGGACGAUAAUGACGGUACGGGUGGAAGUAGCACCGGCUAACUUCGUGCCAGCAGCCGCGGUAAUACGAGGGGUGCGAGCGUUGUUCGGAAUUAUUGGGCGUAAAGGGCGCGUANGCGGUGCGGUAAGUCACCUGUGAAAUCUCCCGGCUCAACUGGGA
This 552-nucleotide ribosomal RNA is filed under the name uncultured bacterium. Its description in RNAcentral is "bacterial SSU rRNA". It matches the Rfam family "Bacterial small subunit ribosomal RNA", at positions 35 to 618 of the family's 1533-position model. The record is from RNAcentral.